AUUGAACGCUGGCGGCAGGCUUAACACAUGCAAGUCGAGCGGGGUGAUGGUGCUUGCACUAUCACUUAGCGGCGGACGGGUGAGUAAUGCUUAGGAAUCUGCCUAUUAGUGGGGGACAACAUCUCGAAAGGGAUGCUAAUACCGCAUACGUCCUACGGGAGAAAGCAGGGGAUCACUUGUGACCUUGUGCUAAUAGAUGAGCCUAAGUCGGAUUAGCUAGUUGGUGGGGUAAAGGCCUACCAAGGCGACGAUCUGUAGCGGGGCUGAGAGGUAGAUCCGCCACACGUGGACUGAUACACGGCCCAGACUCCUACGGGAGGCAGCAGUGGGUAAUAUUGGACAAUGGGGGGAACCCUGAUCCAGCCAUGCCGCGUGUGUGAAGAAGGCCUUAUGGUUGUAAAGCACUUUAAGCGAGGAGGAGGCUUACCUAGUUAAUACCUGGGAUAAGUGGACGUUACUCGCAGAAUAAGCACCGGCUAACUCUGUGCCAGCAGCCGCCGUAA
This 503-nucleotide ribosomal RNA is filed under the name uncultured bacterium. RNAcentral's name for it is "partial 16S ribosomal RNA". It matches the Rfam family "Bacterial small subunit ribosomal RNA", at positions 30 to 523 of the family's 1533-position model. The record is from RNAcentral.